GACGAACGCUGGCGGCGUGCUUAACACAUGCAAGUCGAACGGAAAGGCCUCUUUCGGGGGUUACUCGAGUGGCGAACGGGUGAGUAACACGUGAGUAACCUGCCCUUGACUUUGGGAUAACUUCAGGAAACUGGGGCUAAUACCGGAUAGGAGCUCCUGCUGCAUGGUGGGGGUUGGAAAGUUUCGGCGGUUGGGGAUGGACUCGCGGCUUAUCAGCUUGUUGGUGGGGUAGUGGCUUACCAAGGCUUUGACGGGUAGCCGGCCUGAGAGGGUGACCGGCCACAUUGGGACUGAGAUACGGCCCAGACUCCUACGGGAGGCAGCAGUGGGGAAUAUUGCACAAUGGGUGGAAGCCUGAUGCAGCAACGCCGUGUGCGGGAUGACGGCCUUCGGGUUGUAAACCGCUUUCGCUCAUGACGAAGCUUUGUGUGACGGUAGUGGGUAAAGAAGCACCGGCUAACUACGUG
Molecule: ribosomal RNA, 467 nt
Filed under: uncultured bacterium
Lineage: Bacteria
Description: partial 16S ribosomal RNA
Rfam family: Bacterial small subunit ribosomal RNA
Source: RNAcentral